GAUGAACGCUGGCGGCGUGCCUAAUACAUGCAAGUCGAGCGAACGGACGAGAAGCUUGCUUCUCUGAUGUUAGCGGCGGACGGGUGAGUAACACGUGGAUAACCUACCUAUAAGACUGGUAUAACUUCGGGAAACCGUAGCUAAUACCGGAUAAUAUUUUGAACCGCAUGGUUCAAAAGUGAAAGACGGUCUUGCUGUCACUUAUAGAUGGAUCCGCGCUGCAUUAGCUAGUUGGUAAGGUAACGGCUUACCAAGGCAACGAUGCAUAGCCGACCUGAGAGGGUGAUCGGCCACACUGGAACUGAGACACGGUCCAGACUCCUACGGGAGGCAGCAGUAGGGAAUCUUCCGCAAUGGGCGAAAGCCUGACGGAGCAACGCCGCGUGAGUGAUGAAGGUCUUCGGAUCGUAAAACUCUGUUAUUAGGGAAGAACAUAUGUGUAAGUAACUGUGCACAUCUUGACGGUACCUAAUCAGAAAGCCACGGCUAACUACGUGC
RNAcentral lists this ribosomal RNA (498 nucleotides) under uncultured bacterium. Its description in RNAcentral is "partial 16S ribosomal RNA". It matches the Rfam family "Bacterial small subunit ribosomal RNA", at positions 28 to 508 of the family's 1533-position model. The record is from RNAcentral.